UGGAGGUGAGAUAUGUAGCACAAGGUUGGAAGACCGGGGUGCUGUGAAAAGUGGGAUUAGCAGGAUCCGGGAAACAUGGUGAUGGAUGUGGGUGCUCGACCUUUUCUUUGUAGCCUCGGUCGGCUUUGGGAAGAAAUCCCACAUGGUAUCCACAUGGGGUCGAUCGCCUUUGGAGCUCCGAAUGACCCCUCCCCUGCCCUCUCGCUAAAGUCAUUUCCUUUUUCUCAAGAGAAGAACGAUCGUGGUCUCAAAGUAUUCAUGCCUCCGCCUGUCUACUCCGUUCUUGUACAUGUCUUCUUCUUGAUUCAUUUCUUUUAUCUUUGUUCCGAGGGAUCUGCGCACGAGUGACCGUCUCCUCGGAUAGAAGAAGAAAAGGAACAAGUUUUCUGCAUUCCUUCCACAUUAUAAGCUUGUCAAAUGCAUCGCACCGGAAACAACUUACAGAAUGCAUUAACAUCAUCCAUCCAACAUAGCAAGACGAUGGAAGGGCUGGAAGUGUAGUGUUCUUCCGUGUCCUGUCGAGAGAAUCAAAUGCAUUGACUCUGAGGAUGCACCCGAAAGUCAACAGGUUGUGAAGAAUGGCUACGGAAGUAACUUCACGAGAGUAAAAGAAGAGUGUACGUUCCAUUCAUGUGCUCCGCAGAGGAUUUCAAGAUGACUAGUGAUGCAAGUCACGUACUUCCUUGUGCAGCCAACUUUUGCAUCGUGGACACAACAUGAGCUUGGUAAAAAAGAUCCAUGGAGGUAAGAUGUUUUUGGAUGGAAGAAGAAUACCACACAAAGUUGGGCAAGACUUUGAUGAUGUGAAGACUCGAAGAAUAAUUGAUUCCACUUUAUUUAUUUUUUCUGAAAUAGUGCUCCUACUGAUGUGAUGGUUUUAGAACAGAUAUUUGCAUGACCCCAAGCAAACUAUCCAACUGUUAACUUC
This is a long non-coding RNA of Musa acuminata AAA Group (dessert banana), 928 nucleotides long. RefSeq lists it as uncharacterized. The transcript is spliced from 3 exons. NCBI's taxonomy places the organism in Eukaryota, Viridiplantae, Streptophyta, Magnoliopsida, Zingiberales, Musaceae. The record is from RefSeq and is a predicted model, not a curated record.